GACGAACGCUGGCGGCGUGCUUAACACAUGCAAGUCGAACGGAAAGGCCCUGCUUUUGUGGGGUGCUCGAGUGGCGAACGGGUGAGUAACACGUGAGUAACCUGCCCUUGACUUUGGGAUAACUUCAGGAAACUGGGGCUAAUACCGGAUAGGAGCUCCUGCUGCAUGGUGGGGGUUGGAAAGUUUCGGCGGUUGGGGAUGGACUCGCGGCUUAUCAGCUUGUUGGUGGGGUAGUGGCUUACCAAGGCUUUGACGGGUAGCCGGCCUGAGAGGGUGACCGGCCACAUUGGGACUGAGAUACGGCCCAGACUCAUACGGGAGGCAGCAGUGGGGAAUAUUGCACAAUGGGCGGAAGCCUGAUGCAGCAACGCCGCGUGCGGGAGGACGGCCUUCGGGUUGUAAACCGCUUUCGCCUGUGACGAAGCGUGAGUGACGGUAAUGGGUAAAGAAGCACCGGCUAACUACGU
This 467-nucleotide ribosomal RNA is filed under the name uncultured bacterium. RNAcentral describes it as "partial 16S ribosomal RNA". It matches the Rfam family "Bacterial small subunit ribosomal RNA", at positions 28 to 506 of the family's 1533-position model. The record is from RNAcentral.